AUUGAACGCUGGCGGCAGGCCUAACACAUGCAAGUCGAGCGGAUGAAGGGAGCUUGCUCCUGGAUUCAGCGGCGGACGGGUGAGUAAUGCCUAGGAAUCUGCCUGGUAGUGGGGGAUAACGUCCGGAAACGGGCGCUAAUACCGCAUACGUCCUGAGGGAGAAAGUGGGGGAUCUUCGGACCUCACGCUAUCAGAUGAGCCUAGGUCGGAUUAGCUAGUUGGUGGGGUAAAGGCCUACCAAGGCGACGAUCCGUAACUGGUCUGAGAGGAUGAUCAGUCACACUGGAACUGAGACACGGUCCAGACUCCUACGGGAGGCAGCAGUGGGGAAUAUUGGACAAUGGGCGAAAGCCUGAUCCAGC
Molecule: ribosomal RNA, 362 nt
Filed under: Pseudomonas aeruginosa
Lineage: Bacteria; Pseudomonadati; Pseudomonadota; Gammaproteobacteria; Pseudomonadales; Pseudomonadaceae
Description: bacterial SSU rRNA
Rfam family: Bacterial small subunit ribosomal RNA
Source: RNAcentral